Non-coding RNA from Pelobates cultripes (western spadefoot toad), 207 nucleotides. Lineage: Eukaryota; Metazoa; Chordata; Amphibia; Anura; Pelobatidae. The record is from the annotation of a GenBank genome assembly.
GCUGUCACGAUUCGGGGAACCCAACACGCUGGCACACACACACACACACAAAAGGUGCCGUACCGGACCUUAGAGUGGCCGGGCUAAGCACACACAGAAUAGUCAGGAAACAAGCCGAGUAAGGGGAACCAGAAGACAGAAUAACGUGAAACGAGCCGAGGUCAAAGGGUAGGAGAAAGUCACAAAGUCGGAUAAACAAGCCAGAGA